Molecule: ribosomal RNA, 467 nt
Filed under: uncultured Glomus
Lineage: Eukaryota; Fungi; Glomeromycota; Glomeromycetes; Glomerales; Glomeraceae
Description: SSU rRNA
Rfam family: Eukaryotic small subunit ribosomal RNA
Source: RNAcentral
AGCAGCCGCGGUAAUUCCAGCUCCAAUAGCGUAUAUUAAAGUUGUUGCAGUUAAAAAGCUCGUAGUUGAAUUUCGGGGUUAGUAGGUUGGUCAUGCCUCUGGUAUGUACUGGUCUCACUGAUUCCUCCUUCCUGAUGAACCUUAAUGCCAUUUAUUUGGUGUUUUGGGGAAUUUGGACUGUUACUUUGAAAAAAUUAGAGUGUUUAAAGCAAGCUAACGCUUGAAUACAUUAGCAUGGAAUAAUGAAAUAGGACGUUCGAUCCUAUUUUGUUGGUUUCUAGGAUUGACGUAAUGAUUAAUAGGGAUAGUUGGGGGCAUUAGUAUUCAAUUGUCAGAGGUGAAAUUCUUGGAUUUAUUGAAGACUAACUACUGCGAAAGCAUUUGCCAAGGAUGUUUUCAUUAAUCAAGAACGAAAGUUAGGGGAUCGAAGACGAUCAGAUACCGUCGUAGUCUUAACCAUAAACUAU